RNAcentral lists this ribosomal RNA (486 nucleotides) under uncultured Ascomycota. RNAcentral's name for it is "eukaryotic LSU rRNA". The stretch from base 127 to 280 matches the Rfam family "5.8S ribosomal RNA". The record is from RNAcentral. Lineage: Eukaryota; Fungi; Ascomycota.
UGGACUGCGGAGGAUCAUUAUCAAAACCCCUCGGGUAAAUAUCUAUGUUGAUGGUUUCCCUUUUUCCUCUUUGUCCUUAGAAUAUGUCUCCUAUCUGUGUAAAGGAAAAAGAGGUUAAAAAGAUAAAACUUUCAGCAACGGAUCUCUUGGUUCUCGCAUCGAUGAAGAACGCAGCGAAAUGCGAUAAGUAGUGUGAAUUGCAGAAUUCAGUGAAUCAUCGAAUCUUUGAACGCACAUUGCGCCUUCUGGUUUUCUGGGGGGCAUGCCUGUUCGAGAGUCAUUCCCUCAGAUGAAUCGUUUUGGUGGAAGAGGAGGUUGGCCCAAUCUCCUCCCCAUCGAAAUUCAUAGGCAGUCUGUGUGUUUUUCCUGUUUAUGGCGUUGUAAAUGGGAGGUUUAUAUUUUUAAUGAGGUAGCCACUUUUCGCCAAAAAUAUAGUUUAUCCUCGGAUCAGGUAGGGAUACCCGCUGAACUUAAGCAUAUCAAUAA